GCAGUGGGGUGAAGGAAAUGCUUUAGCUGCUGGCAUUGAGUUCAUCGGAAGGGGAAGGGAAGAUUGGCUUCGACGUCGUCGUCGUCGCUGUUCUUGAUUUCGUCCUUCUUCUUUUUCUUUUAAGAGUGCUCAAAUGGCCAUACUCUAUGUUCUGGAUGCAAACCUAGAGUUCACAGUCGAUGCCCCACUUGCAGGCAUGAGCUAGGCAACAUAAGGUGUCUUGCAUUGGAGAAGGUUGCAUCUUCUCUUGAACUGCCUUGCAAGUACCAAACCUUUGGUUGUUUGGGUAUAUAUCCAUAGUACUGCAAACUAAAACAUGAAUCACAAUGCACAUUCAGACCCUACACUUGUCCAUACGCUGGAUCUGAGUGCACAGUUGCCGGUGACAUUCCUUAUGUGGUGACUCAUCUAAAAGAUGAUACGAGGUUGAGAAUGCAACCUGGAUGCUGAUGGUUUUCAGUUGCUUUGGACAGUACUUCUGCCUUCACUUUGCGGCAUUUCAGCUAGGUAUGGCACUGGGGGAUGAUAAUGAAGCUAAAUGCUACAGCUAUAGCCUCGAGGUUGGAGGUUAAGGAAGAUAACAUAACAAGGAGUUCCCGGAAGUAUAAGAGACAGUCAUUGGAAGAUAACACAAUUUCAGAGGAUAUUAAUGGCAGCUGGAGUUUCAACGAACAGUUCAAUGACAGAGAACUUGGGAGUAAGAUCCUGAAAUAUGAAGGAGUUUGAAUUAAAAAUAAUUAAAUUCUUGAUAUUCUUUUCAGAUAACAUAAUUUUAAAGGAUAUUAAUGGCAGCUAGAGUUUCAAUUAACAGUUCAAUGACAAAGAACUCAGACUAGAUUUUGA
Long non-coding RNA from Musa acuminata AAA Group (dessert banana), 843 nucleotides. RefSeq lists it as uncharacterized. NCBI's taxonomy places the organism in Eukaryota, Viridiplantae, Streptophyta, Magnoliopsida, Zingiberales, Musaceae. The transcript is spliced from 4 exons. The record is from RefSeq and is a predicted model, not a curated record.